GGGCCCGCACAAGCGGUGGAGCAUGUGGUUUAAUUCGAUGAUACGCGAGGAACCUUACCAGGGCUUAAAUGUACGUUGCAUGAUUUAGAGAUAGAUCUUUCUUCGGACUACGUACAAGGUGCUGCAUGGUUGUCGUCAGCUCGUGCCGUGAGGUGUCAGGUUAAGUCCUAUAACGAGCGCAACCCCUGUCGUUAGUUACCAGCAAGUAAUGUUGGGUACUCUAGCGAGACUGCCGGUGCAAACCGCGAGGAAGGUGGGGAUGACGUCAAAUCAUCACGGCCCUUACGUCCUGGGCCACACACGUGCUACAAUGGCCGGUACAGAGAGCAGCCACUACGCGAGUAGGAGCGAAAUCUUCAAAAACCGGUCUCAGUUCGGAUCGCAGUCUGCAACUCGACUGCGUGAAGCUGGAAUCGCUAGUAAUCG
Molecule: ribosomal RNA, 426 nt
Filed under: uncultured bacterium
Lineage: Bacteria
Description: bacterial SSU rRNA
Rfam family: Bacterial small subunit ribosomal RNA
Source: RNAcentral